This 453-nucleotide ribosomal RNA is filed under the name uncultured bacterium. RNAcentral describes it as "bacterial SSU rRNA". It matches the Rfam family "Bacterial small subunit ribosomal RNA", at positions 340 to 786 of the family's 1533-position model. The record is from RNAcentral.
UACGGGAGGCAGCAGUGGGGAAUAUUGCACAAUGGGCGCAAGCCUGAUGCAGCCAUGCCGCGUGUAUGAAAAAGGCCUUCGGGUUGUAAAGUACUUUCAGUCGUGAGGAAGGUGUUAAGGUUAAUAACCUUAGCAAUUGACGUUAGCGACAGAAGAAGCACCGGCUAACUCCGUGCCAGCAGCCGCGGUAAUACGGAGGGUGCGAGCGUUAAUCGGAAUUACUGGGCGUAAAGGGCACGCAGGCGGUUAAUUAAGUUGGAUGUGAAAUCCCCGGGCUUAACCUGGGAAUGGCAUUCAAGACUGGUUAGCUAGAGUCUUGUAGAGGGGGUUAGAAUUCCAUGUGUAGCGGUGAAAUGCGUAGAGAUGUGGAGGAAUACCGGUGGCGAAGGCGGCCCCUGGACAAAGACUGACGCUCAUGUGCGAAAGCUGGGGAGCAAACAGGGAUUAGAUACC